AUCUGUAAAUACAACACAAAGCUCCUCAUAGCCGAAUUACUUUGUUUCCCUUUGUACUCACAGACUCUUUGGUAGAAUAUUUUGAGAUAAGAUGGAAUUAGAAAAAACUUGUUUACUCAUAGCGAGGAAACAACAAAGACCCCGACAACAAUCCCCAUCUGGA
Molecule: non-coding RNA, 163 nt
Organism: Chelonoidis abingdonii (Abingdon island giant tortoise)
Lineage: Eukaryota; Metazoa; Chordata; Testudines; Testudinidae
Source: RefSeq, a predicted model, not a curated record